RNAcentral lists this unclassified non-coding RNA (2441 nucleotides) under Lucilia cuprina (Australian sheep blowfly). RNAcentral describes it as "potassium voltage-gated channel protein Shaw, transcript variant X5". The stretch from base 1662 to 1775 matches the Rfam family "Potassium channel RNA editing signal". The record is from RNAcentral. Lineage: Eukaryota; Metazoa; Arthropoda; Insecta; Diptera; Calliphoridae.
UGAGAAUGCAUGAAUUUUUCUGUAGAGUUUUUGAGUGGUGCUGCGCUUGUACAAUAAAUUUGUUAUUAUGCCAAACAAUACAAAUAAAAUACACACUCACAUUAACACUCUCACUUUGGACAAUUUAUGGAAAAACAAAAAGAAGCAGAGCAGAGGAAAACUAAACUGAACUGAACAGAACAGAAAAAGAGCGAUACGUCCCCGUUAGACAGUUUUAGUAAAGUAGCUGCUGAUUGAGUAAAAAGUUGUUGGGAACCAAAAAGGAAAAACUUAUUUAACGCAUUUUACUUUUUUUAAUUUAAGACCCACAUAAUAAUAAAAAAAAAACAAUUUUAAAAGAAAAAUAUUUAAAAAGAAAGUUAUUAAAACAUUGUUCAAUAAAGUUACGGAAAAAAUUAAACAAAUAUUCUAAAAAACAAAUAUAUAAUUGUAGCAAAUAAAAUUAUAUUUUUUUAAACAACAAAUUACAAAAGCUCAUCAUGACUUAUAUACCGAAAAAAAAUUCCUAUUAUUCCCGCUCUCAUACAGCUAUGAAUUUAAUAAAUAUGGAUUCAGAAAAUCGGGUUGUUUUAAAUGUUGGCGGCAUUAGACAUGAGACAUAUAAGGCAACAUUAAAGAAAAUCCCUGCCACUAGACUGUCAAAAUUAACGGAAGCGUUGGCCAACUAUGAUCCACUACUAAAUGAAUAUUUUUUUGAUCGACAUCCGGGAGUUUUUGCCCAGGUGUUAAAUUAUUAUAGAACUGGUAAGCUUCAUUAUCCUACGGAUGUAUGUGGACCACUAUUUGAAGAAGAAUUGGAAUUUUGGGGUUUAGAUUCAAAUCAAGUUGAACCCUGUUGUUGGAUGACUUACACACAGCAUCGUGACACUCAAGAAACUCUUGCCGUACUAGAUCGUUUAGAUUUAGAUACAGAAAAACCGUCCGAAGAGGAAUUAGCUCGAAAAUUUGGUUUCGAAGAAGACUAUUAUAAGGGAACAUUAUCAUGGUGGCAGGAAAUAAAACCACGAAUAUGGUCACUAUUCGAUGAGCCAUAUAGUUCAAAUGCCGCAAAAAUAAUUGGUGUUGUAUCGGUGUUCUUUAUAUGCAUUUCAAUAUUAUCGUUCUGUUUGAAAACCCACCCGGAUAUGAGAGUACCGUAUAUUGUGAAUAAAACGGUAGUCACAUCAAAUGGCAGUUCCUCCUGGUAUUUGGAUAAGCCUCAGACAAAUGCCCACAUAGCUUUUUUCUAUAUUGAAUGUGUAUGUAAUGCCUGGUUUACAUUUGAAAUACUAGUCCGUUUUAUAUCAUCACCGAAUAAGUGUGACUUUAUUAAAUCUUCAGUGAAUAUCAUUGAUUACAUUGCCACUCUCAGUUUUUACAUUGAUUUGGUAUUACAACGUUUCGCUUCACAUUUAGAGAAUGCCGAUAUAUUGGAAUUCUUCUCAAUCAUACGUAUUAUGCGUUUAUUUAAACUGACGCGACAUUCGUCGGGUCUGAAAAUUCUCAUACAAACAUUUAGAGCCUCUGCCAAGGAGUUGACAUUAUUGGUAUUUUUCCUUGUACUGGGUAUUGUAAUUUUCGCAAGUCUUGUCUACUAUGCGGAACGAAUACAAACGAAUCCCCACAAUGAUUUCAAUAGCAUACCGUUGGGUUUAUGGUGGGCCCUAGUAACGAUGACCACAGUGGGUUAUGGCGAUAUGGUGCCAAAAACCUAUAUUGGCAUGUUUGUGGGUGCAUUAUGUGCUCUAGCCGGUGUACUAACCAUUGCACUGCCAGUGCCCGUUAUUGUUAGCAACUUUGCCAUGUACUAUUCGCAUACACAGGCACGAGCAAAACUGCCAAAGAAACGUAGACGUGUGCUUCCGGUCGAACAGCCCCGUCCACCCAGGCUGCCAGGUCAAGCAGGAGGUGUAAGCGGUUGUGGUACACCCGGUUCUGGACCUAACUCCGGCCCCAUGGGAUCUGGUACCGGUCCUAGACGUAUGAAUAAUAAAACCAAAGACUUAGUUAGUCCAAAAUCGGAUGUGGCCUUUGGUUUUGACUAAAAACUCAUUUUAACAAAACAAACAAUAGCAAAAUCCAUUUAACAAGUUUCAAAUUGACAACGCUCAUAUUCCAAAUAAAAAAAAUGAAUGAAAAAUUUAUAUCACAAAAAAAGUAAAAGAAAAAACACAAAUGACACAUUUUUCCAAAAAAAAAAACGCUCAAAAAACUAACACUUCUGCCUCAUAAAUGGAAGCAAAAUGAAAUGGGAGGGUCCAAUUGGUGCCAGUAUUGUUGCCAUGAGUCCACGUACUAUGCUCGAUUUAAAUCCCGCCUUGGCCAUGGGCAAACCAACAUUUGAAUCUCGAGGACCACCCAUAACAUCGAAAGACUUUAAAGAUACCGAUAAACAUACAACAGAUGCAGCAAAGAAAAACUUUUUAUAGAGUCAUUGAAAAAAUAAUUAACAGAUUUAUUAC